This is a long non-coding RNA of Aphis gossypii (cotton aphid), 891 nucleotides long. RefSeq lists it as uncharacterized. The record is from RefSeq and is a predicted model, not a curated record. The transcript is spliced from 4 exons. Lineage: Eukaryota; Metazoa; Arthropoda; Insecta; Hemiptera; Aphididae.
UACAAUACAAAAUUACUGUGAAUUUACUUAAGUACAUAUUAAUUGUACACAAUAAUAUUAUAUUUUUUUGUAUAAAUGUAUACGCAUAAUCAGUAUAACCAGUUUUAUAUGACGUAUAAAUGUUUACCUACCUAUUAUCUACGUCGAAAUACCAUUAGCUGCUGGACGUAGCAGUAGCAGGGCUGUAUAAUCAAUUUUAAAACAAGUUUGCUUAGCAAUUUAAUUUUCAUUACCUAUCUACGUAGUCUGUCCUUUGGUCACACGGACGUAGCUGAGCAUAUAGAUGGUACAUAAUAUCAAUAACGAAAAACAACCUGCAAUUUGCAUUAAUAAUUCAGAAGACCUAGCGUAGCAUUGUGUUGUGUAGUUGUAUUGAUGGGAUUAUAAUCGCUUAUAUUAUAUUGUGCAUAAUAUUUAGAUAUCGUUUUAAAAAUUUAUUUUUCUGAUUAAGUAUUAAGUACAAAAUUAAUUCAUUCCUCACAGAUAUUUUUCAGUGUUUAUUAUACAUUAUAGUAAGAUAAUAACUUACAUAUUUGUUAAUUUACUUUAAAAUAAUGUUUAGUGUUUAGUGACGUUCAUUUGAUAUAUCUAAUAUAUUAUACAUUUUCGCUUCAAUACUAAUUCAUCAUUGGCCAUGAAGGUGACGUAUUCCUGGUUGAUAUAUUCAUGCUUCAUUUUUGGAGAAGGCGUUUUUUGUGAUAGAAAACUUGAAAAACGUCAAACUGUAUCAUCUUGCACAGUGUUGAAAUCCUGAUGACGCAUUUAACUGUUCAAAUGGACAAUGUAUCGAAUCGUCGGCUGUUUGCGACGGUCAUGCGGAUUGUUCAGAUAGUUCAGACGAGACCAACGAUUUAUGUGCAAAACAAACAUGUCGAAAUUAUUCCUAUCGAU